Molecule: ribosomal RNA, 430 nt
Filed under: uncultured bacterium
Lineage: Bacteria
Description: bacterial SSU rRNA
Rfam family: Bacterial small subunit ribosomal RNA
Source: RNAcentral
GUGAACGCUAGCGGUGCGCCUAACACAUGCAAGUCGAGUGGGUUCAGACCCACGGCGAACGGCUGCGUAACACGUUGGUACCUGCCUCGUAUUCAGGGAUAACCCGCCGAAAGGCGGGCUAAUACCGGAUGGUCUCGCAAGAGUAAAGCUUUCGCGAUACGAGAGGGGCCUGCGGCCUAUCAGGUAGUUGGUAAGGUAACGGCUUACCAAGCCUAUGACGGGUAGCUGGAUUGAGAGAUCGACCAGCCAGAAUGGGACUGAGACACGGCCCAUACUCCUACGGGAGGCAGCAGUGAGGAAUCUUCCGCAAUGGGGGCAACCAUGACGGAGCGACACCGCGUGAAGGAUGAAACCCUUUUGGGCGUAAACUUCUGUUCUGAGGGAGGAAAUUUUUGACUGUACCUCAGGAGAAAGCACCGGCAAAUCUCGU